RNAcentral lists this small RNA (339 nucleotides) under Histoplasma ohiense. RNAcentral's name for it is "hypothetical lncRNA". Lineage: Eukaryota; Fungi; Ascomycota; Eurotiomycetes; Onygenales; Ajellomycetaceae. The record is from RNAcentral.
UUAGCUGUGGUGUAAUCAGUACAGUCUGUAUACUGACUCAGUUGUGCUCUUUCCUCUCUCUCCCCCUCUGAGCUUGUGCUGAAUUAUGUGACUGCAAGGUGCCACAGAUGGCACAGUCUUUUCUUCACUUUUUUCUUUAUUUUUCUUUUCAGAAUACUCACUUUUUCUCUUUUCUUUUGUCUGUCUCAUCUGUUUUUCUUUUGUUGUUAGAAGUACAGACAGUUCUCAGAUCAACUGAGAAAGUUAUCUCUUUUCAUUUACUAUAAAAUCUUUCAGACACAGCAGCAGCAGUCCUCUUGAGAAUCACACUAUAGCUCUAUCAUGAAUAAUCAUACAUCA